This is a long non-coding RNA of Eriocheir sinensis (Chinese mitten crab), 1213 nucleotides long. RefSeq lists it as uncharacterized. NCBI's taxonomy places the organism in Eukaryota, Metazoa, Arthropoda, Malacostraca, Decapoda, Varunidae. The transcript has 3 exons. The record is from RefSeq and is a predicted model, not a curated record.
CACCAGUGUGUGUAAGGGUGUGUCUAUCAAGGGUACUCUUCUGGAUGAAUUUUUUCCCACAUUCCUUACAUUCAUAGUUCUUCACACCAGUGUGUGUAAGGGUGUGUCUAUCAAGGGUACUCUUCUGGAUGAAUAGUUUCCCACAUUCCUUACAUUCAUAGUUCUUCACACCAGUGUGUGUAAGGGUGUGAUAUCUGAGGCCAUGCCUUGUGGUUAAUUCUUUUCCACACUCCAGACACACAAACUUCCUCUCUCCUUUGUUGCUGGAGUUGCCAGCAGCAAGUUGCUUCAUCUGGUGACCACUGACCCUCCUGCCCCCUGCAGCAGUUUGCUCCUGCUUGUCCGGGGUACUCAUGCUUCUUCUUCUGGGGUGUUCUAGGGGGCUGUUAGGCAGUGGACUUUCUUCUUCUUCUGGGGUGUUCUAGGGGGCUGUUAGGCAGUGGACUUUCUUCUUCUUGUAGGGUGUUCUAGGGGGCUGUUAGGCAGUGUUGUUGUUGUUAUGGGCCGCGGCCACUAGUCGCUCACAUGAGCCCUGGUGUCGUCCUGUGAGGGCCUCACAGGCUGCCCCGUCUUCCUGAGGAAGGCGCAGGUGGGGCGGGUGGCUGCUGCUUCCUGCCGUGAGGGGUGGACGCCUGCCGCCGCCAGGUCCAAGGUGGUCGCCACGUCCAAGGAGGGAGGGAGUUGGUGUCGUGGCUGGGAGUGGAGGCGGGGCAGUGCAGCAGCAGCAGCAGCAGCAGGAGGUGCCCAAUGGUCUCCUCGACGGUCCUGCAGCAGCAGCAGGAGGUGCCCAAUGGUCUCCUCGACGGUCCUGCAGCAGCAGGGUAAGCAGUGAGGGUCGUGGACCUGUCAGGCCGGGCGGUUGAGUUGAGUUGUCGGUCGGACUCGGUCGGGAGUCUUGCCUUUGUAACGGAACUCCUUUUGACUGACCUGUGACGCUUUGUAUCGCUUCUUGAUUGAUUGAUUGAUAGUUUAUUGUUGCAGGUAAACAACAAGGGAGAAGGGAGGGAGAGAGUUGGUGUCGUGGCUGGGAGUGGAGGCGGGGCAGUGCAGCAGCAGCAGCAGGAGGUGCCCAAUGUGAGGGCUUCACAGGCGCGUCAGCUGCCCCGUCUUCCUAAGGAAGGCGCAGGUGAGGCGGAGGACAGCAUCCUGUCGUGAGGGGUGGACGCCUGCCGCCGCCAGCAGUGUGGGCAGGUCAAAGGUGGGCACGUCCAGG